UAGAUUGAAGCCAGUUGUUUUGGGCUAUUAGCUGUUAACUAAUUUUUUAUGGGUUAAAAUCCCAUCGGUCUAG
RNAcentral lists this transfer RNA (73 nucleotides) under Lasiurus borealis (red bat). RNAcentral's name for it is "tRNA-Asn". It matches the Rfam family "tRNA". Rfam says of the family: Transfer RNA (tRNA) molecules are approximately 80 nucleotides in length. Lineage: Eukaryota; Metazoa; Chordata; Mammalia; Chiroptera; Vespertilionidae. The record is from RNAcentral.